This 253-nucleotide ribosomal RNA is filed under the name uncultured bacterium. Its description in RNAcentral is "partial 16S ribosomal RNA". It matches the Rfam family "Bacterial small subunit ribosomal RNA", at positions 524 to 776 of the family's 1533-position model. The record is from RNAcentral.
UACAGAGGUGGCAAGCGUUGUUCGGAAUUACUGGGCGUAAAGGGCGCGUAGGCGGCCUUCUAAGUCAGACGUGAAAUCCCCCGGCUUAACCUGGGAACUGCGUCUGAUACUGGAGGGCUUGAGUGCGGGAGAGGGAUGUGGAAUUCCAGGUGUAGCGGUGAAAUGCGUAGAUAUCAGGAGGAACACCGGUGGCGAAGGCGGGUCUCUGGGCAGUAACUGACGCUGAGGAGCGAAAGCGUGGGGAGCGAACAGG